Molecule: ribosomal RNA, 253 nt
Filed under: uncultured bacterium
Lineage: Bacteria
Description: partial 16S ribosomal RNA
Rfam family: Bacterial small subunit ribosomal RNA
Source: RNAcentral
UACAGAGGGGACAAGCGUUAUUCGGAAUUAUUGGGCGUAAAGGGCGCGUAGGCGGUCGUGCAAGUGGAAGGUGAAAUCCCUCGGCUCAACCGAGGAACUGCCUUUCAAACUGCAUGACUUGAGUCCGGGAGAGGUGAGUGGAAUUCCCAGUGUAGCGGUGAAAUGCGUAGAUAUUGGGAGGAACACCAGUGGCGAAGGCGGCUCACUGGACCGGAACUGACGCUGAGGCGCGAAAGCGUGGGGAGCAAACGGG